Molecule: ribosomal RNA, 453 nt
Filed under: uncultured Leptolinea sp.
Lineage: Bacteria; Bacillati; Chloroflexota; Anaerolineae; Anaerolineales; Anaerolineaceae
Description: bacterial SSU rRNA
Rfam family: Bacterial small subunit ribosomal RNA
Source: RNAcentral
GAGGCCCGCACAAGCAGCGGAGCGUGUGGUUUAAUUCGAUGUUACACGAAGAACCUUACCAGGGUUUGACAUGCAAGUGGUAGGAAGCCGAAAGGUGACCGACCCUUCGGGGAGCUUGCACAGGUGCUGCAUGGCUGUCGUCAGCUCGUGUCGUGAGAUGUUCGGUUAAGUCCGCUAACGAGCGCAACCCUCGCUGUGUGUUAUAUGUGUCACACGGGACUGCCGGUCUUAAGCCGGAGGAAGGUGGGGAUGAUGUCAAGUCAGCAUGGCCUUUAUAUCCUGGGCUACACACACGCUACAAUGGCCAACACAAUAGGUUGCUAAGCCGCGAGGUGGCGCCAAUCCAUAAAGUUGGUCUCAGUUCAGAUUGUAGGCUGCAACCCGCCUGCAUGAAGAUGGAGUUGCUAGUAACCGCAGGUCAGCUAUACUGCGGUGAAUACGUUCCCGGGGCUU